Molecule: long non-coding RNA, 127 nt
Organism: Xiphophorus hellerii (green swordtail)
Lineage: Eukaryota; Metazoa; Chordata; Actinopteri; Cyprinodontiformes; Poeciliidae
Exons: 3
Source: RefSeq, a predicted model, not a curated record
UGAAAUUGGGCUUCUGUCUCUUAACCAUUCCUGCUCUUACUGAAACUCCACCUUCAGGAAGUCAUCACAAUAUAGCUCCUCUAUUAAUCCUUUAACGUUUUACCAACAAUGCUCUGAGAAGCAGCAG